AAGCGGCCAAGACAGCGGCAGUAAGUCGCCACCGCUGACGUCAGCGCGAGCCGUGGGUCACGGAGCAGCGCGUCGGUAGCCGGGCGCGUGGCGAGGCGCCGAAAUCCCCGAGUGUCCUUCGAAACGUCCGGCCUGGCCGUGCUCGCCGGCCGCUGCCGGGCGGGCGGGCGCACCUCGGGCCGCGGCGGCACCGAGCGCCCCUCACCGUUUUUCACCAUCGCUUGCUCGGUGCAGAAGCGCCAGAACGGGGCCCAGGCGUUGCCUCGCGCGAUAACAGUAAAAGGAGAGGAGAGGCGUGCGCGAAGCCGGCUGGGGAGCGGAGCGUUUCGCUCCUUCAUUCUGUUUUACGGCUGCAGUAUUCYGUUUGAUGGCCUCCGCCAUCCAGAAUAUUGCCUCCUGCGAUGGCACUAACGAGGGAAUGCUGCUUUGUGCUCCUGCUUUAAACACUUGUAUUGCACUUUAAUGCAAAUAUGGUAUCCUUGUCGUUAUGUUUAGGCAGAGUUCCAAAUGGCCAUCUCUCAACUAAUUCACUUAUCUAGAUAUUUUUGCAGAAAUAGCUCCCUUUUCACAUGUUAUUUGAUUUUAAAUGGUAAGUACAGUUCUUCUCAGACUAACUCUGGAUAUUUCAGAAUAUGCAAGAUGUAAAACAUGGAUGUUUUCCAUCUGGAAAAAUUUUGAGAGAGGAAGUUCAACCUUCAUUUUUCAUUAGAUUUCAAUGCAUUAUGGCAUAUCCUAUUUUCUUGUUAAUUAGACCCUGUUCAUUUUCUUCAGUUCAUUACUUGCUACCGCACCUAGAAUUUAUAUUCAUUUGGUUUAAUUGUGUUUGCCUGGUUAAAUUCUAAACAGUUACUCAUUCAGAAAGGAAAUUAUUACCCCACUCUGCCAGGACUUCCACUUUGGCUUAAUUUCCCUGGAGCCUCAUUUACUUUCUUCUGCAUUUCUCCUCACUGGGUCCCCUUGGGUUUGGCUGGAAGUGCGUGCAACAUUUUUACCAUCAUUGACUUUCUUCACGUACACUGGCCAUCUACAAAUUCAUGCCGUGGUCUUGCAUGGUACACCAUAUGCAGGCUACUGAAUUCAUACAGCAGCUCGCAGAACAUGAUGAAACACUUAGGCUCUGCUGAUGGCCAUCUCCUUGCACAGAAGGAACAUGGAAAACCACCAAGCCAUUCCCUGACAGCAAACACCGUCCUCAGUUUCCCCCCAAAUAACUCCCGAAAACGAAGGCCUGCAAGAGUGCAUGCAGUACAAUUACACCAUCAGCUGCAGACUCUGAGCCGACUGCCAGCCCACGAUCAGCCACAAGGAGUCAGGCAAGAGGUUUAGAAGAAAGUGCUUAUUGUAGGAGCUGGCAAACACAAAAUGGGAUGGCUACAGGUAGACCAAGGGGUAGAGGAAAAAGGAUAUUGCAGAAUAAGAGCAUCUGAUGAUAGAGUAGAAGGAAUGAAUCUGCAGAUGUAUCUCGAAGAAAAAUGUGAAACUGGCUAGAUGCGAGCCCACAGCAGGAUCGUAUGGCGCAUGAGCCCAGUGGCCAUUCGGUGAUCUUGUCAUAUUGCUGCCGUGCAGCCUCUGUCCUCGGAGCUGAUUGCGGCUGGCGGCUGUGCCUUCCCUGCUGCCUGAUUGCACUCACACUCCACAGAAUAUUCAGCUGCUGCGAUGGCUUUUCUGUCCAGAUGACAAUCUUUCAGUGCUAUGGUAAUGGGGCUGCUCAGCUGAAAGUGGAUGCUUGAAAAUUCUCCGCACCCUUCCACCUUCCCAGCAAACAGGUACCCGUAAUUACCCCAAAUGGUAGAGAGUUCAGUCAGACAAAGCCACGGCAAAUGACAGUUCUUUCACGGGAGAGCCUGAAGGAAGGGGUCACACCAGCUAAUACAGUAACAGCACACCUUAGGCCUAUAUGCAAUUUUCAUUACGGCUCUUGAAUAUCUGUGGCGUGAUUGACAUCUGUACAAAGAAGGAGAGAAGCAGAUAAAAAUAACAGCUGCAGUUUCUACUGAAUAAACUGAACUUAAAUGCCUUUUUUGAGUUGGUU
This is a long non-coding RNA of Apteryx owenii (little spotted kiwi), 2032 nucleotides long. Lineage: Eukaryota; Metazoa; Chordata; Aves; Apterygiformes; Apterygidae. The record is from Ensembl.